AGUGAACGCUGGCGGUAGGCCUAACACAUGCAAGUCGAACGGCAGCACAGUAAGAGCUUGCUCUUACGGGUGGCGAGUGGCGGACGGGUGAGGAAUACAUCGGAAUCUACUUUUUCGUGGGGGAUAACGUAGGGAAACUUACGCUAAUACCGCAUACGACCUACGGGUGAAAGCAGGGGAUCUUCGGACCUUGCGCGAUUGAAUGAGCCGAUGUCGGAUUAGCUAGUUGGCGGGGUAAAGGCCCACCAAGGCGACGAUCCGUAGCUGGUCUGAGAGGAUGAUCGGCCGAAGUGGAAAAGAGAAACGGUGACGAAUCAUAAGGGAGGAAGCAGUGGGGAUUAUUGGAAAAGGGGCGCAGGUGUGAUAGAGUUAUGCUGAGGGAGUGAAGAAGGCAUUCGGGUAGUAAAAAUCUUGUGUUGGGAAAGAACAGGAGCAGGUGGAUAAGUACGUGCCAGGACGGUAGAUAAUGAAGAAGCCACGGCUAAAUUCGGG
This 492-nucleotide ribosomal RNA is filed under the name uncultured bacterium. RNAcentral's name for it is "partial 16S ribosomal RNA". It matches the Rfam family "Bacterial small subunit ribosomal RNA", at positions 30 to 507 of the family's 1533-position model. The record is from RNAcentral.